GAUGAAGAACGUAGUGAAAUGCGAUAAGUAAUGUGAAUUGCAGAAUUCAGUGAAUCAUCGAAUCUUUGAACGCACCUUGCGCUCCCUGGUAUUCCGGGGAGCACGCCUGUUCGAGUGUCGCGAAAUUCUUCAAGCCUUGGAUGGAUUUUUUUUGUCUGUCCUUGGGCUUGGUUGUUGGGCUCUGCCGUGUCCUUCAUUGGGACGGCUGGCCUUAAAAGCAUUAGCCGAUCCUCGUGUGGUACUGGUUCUACUCAGCGUGAUAACAAUCUGAUCGUUGAGGACAUCUUCUGGAUGGCCAGUCAUCAUUUGGGUUGCUUCUAAACCGGUUUCGCAGAUUGCUCAAUCUGUGUGCCACUUUUCAGCUUUGACCUCGAAUCAGGUGGGACUACCCGCUGAACUUAAGCAUAUCAAUAAGCGGAGGA
Molecule: unclassified non-coding RNA, 422 nt
Filed under: soil metagenome
Description: partial contains 5.8S ribosomal RNA, internal transcribed spacer 2, and large subunit ribosomal RNA
Rfam family: 5.8S ribosomal RNA (bases 1-120)
Source: RNAcentral